Molecule: RNA transcript, 9048 nt
Organism: Dromaius novaehollandiae (emu)
Lineage: Eukaryota; Metazoa; Chordata; Aves; Casuariiformes; Dromaiidae
Gene: CFAP20DC
Gene name: CFAP20 domain containing
Exons: 21
Source: RefSeq, a predicted model, not a curated record
GCCGCUCUAGCCCUGGGGAGAGUUUGUGGUGGCUGCUCCCACCUGCUGCUGUGGCGGCUUCCUGGGCUGAGCGCUCCCGGCCCGCCGUGGCGAGCGGUGGGGACGCGCCGGAGGGGAGCCCCGCGGUGGGCGGCGGCGACCAGGCCAGCGCCGGUGGCGGGAGCGGGCGGGGGGUGAGGGUGGCCGUGGCGGCGGGAGAGGCGCCUGCGGAGGUGCGCCCGAGAGCAGCGUCCCGCCCGCUGCUGCGCGACUCACACAGCCCGCCUCGGUGCUGUGGGGCUGGAUCCGCGUAAAAGUGAAACGCUUGCUUUUAAUCACUUAUUUUCUCCUCAAUUCAGCGAGCUGUGUGUAAAGACUGCUGUUGCCGCUUUUGGCAUAGGAGCGCCGGUCGUCUUGAAGAUACUAAAACCCUUCAUCAGUGAUGAACUGCUUUCUCUGGUGUGUCCCAGCCUACCAUAAAUCAACACUGGCUUUGGGCCCAUGAUGCAUAGUCUAUAGGUGUCAUUACUGACUGAGAAGCUGAAAUUAUUUUUUCCCCGUGACAGCUGGAAAAAUGUUCAAAAAUCAAUAUCAGGGUGGCGCAUUUGUUGAAAUAUUCAGUGCUCAAGGCAAGAACCCUGGUGCAAAGUGGAAGAUUUCUGGCAAUCCAUCAGCUAUAUGGAAAGAGUAUGAUAAGGAGGUAAAAGGCUUUGUUUUUGUACUUGAAGGAAGCAGUCAAAUUAACAAAAUGCAGCUACCAAAGGAAGCUAGACAAACUCUUGGACUGAUCCAGCAGUUUCUGACACUUCAGAUUUUUGUGCCAUUGGGACAAGACUUCUCCACUGAGUUACUGAUAACUGAUUUAGGAAAUAUUAAAAGAAGAUUGUAUUUAUCAACAGUCCACAAGGAGUUGUCUGUAACCCCUCUGCAUGCAAAAAUUCCUCUUCUUAUGAUCAAGCGCAAAAUAUGGUGCAAUAUGUGUAUUGACUUGGUAGCAUUCACCAGUGAAAUAUUCAGAGGAGCUGUCUUCCAGUCUUUGGAUGGAAUUAUUAUUUCAGCUAACUGUAAACUGAGAAAGAUCUUCACUUUAAAAACCAAGCCUCAAGAUACAGCUGAGCAAGAUGUGUGUGUUGUUCCGUGUGCACCUGAUAAGCCAACAGAUGUUAUUCCUCGAAACUGCCAAUUAAAUACAGAUGUGCCUCAAGUUACACAGUUGCUGAACUUGACUAAAAUUCACAAGCCGGAAAUAAAAUGCAGGAGCCAUCCCAUGACAAUGCAAGAAACAGGUCCCUUGAUUAAUAGAAGACAAGGCAAUAUACGGAGCAGUAAAACUCAGGAUGUGUCACACAUUGCAUUUGGAUCAAAGAUCCUUGGACCUCCCCCAUCUUCAACCAGAAAAGUCAGCACUAGGGUAUCUGGAGAGGUAACAAAGACUAUGGGUAGCCAAACUAAUAGAUCCUGCCGACUUCAAAGUUUAGAAAAGGGAACUGAAGUUCUACAAGACGUUGACAGGUCAGAACUGUCGUUCUCACCGUGCAAUGAAUCUCUAGAUCAAGGAGGCAAAAGAAAUACUCACCAAACAACUAAAAAUGUACAUCAAAAUGACCCUGCAAAUCAGACACAGAAAACCUCUGAGAUUGGAGCAGCAGAACUUCAGCUCCCUCUGCCACAAGCACUAUCAACAGACGAGAGCAGUCCUAGAAGAUUAUGUCUAAAAAAUGUUGCCAAAACCACGUGGGAGAUAACCAAUGAUGAAUGGGUGUUUCCUGAAAUUGUCAGUGACACUUUUCAUUUGGAUAAGAGUGGGCAGUUUGCAGCUAUUCAAGAUUCAGCCUGCCAUAAUUUGACCUCAUCGCAGAAUGCUGCUGCUGAACAUCAAGGCAAUCAAACAAGUGAUGACCAAGUAAAUCAUGAAGAGAUUUUCACAUUUUCAUCAAGACCUCGGUCAGCUCGUCGUGGAAAGUCUCCAAAUAUGUCACCAGAAGGUUGCAUUUUCCCUUUGGAUUUGAAGCAAGACAGUAACCAAGCCCAAAGGGAAACCCAAAUUGAAGAUAACUUUCAAGGAACUGACAGCAGUGAAGAGGGUGACAACAGUGAAUUCAUCCAGGGUACUGAAUACCUUGAGACCAGCCACAGCAGGCAAGGAACAUCUGAUUCAGCAGUUUUUAAAGAGAUCCCAUUAAAGAGAAUGCCAUGGAGAAAUGAAUACUGGAAGAAUAAGGGAGACAGCAAACACAACCUCAAGGAAACCAUGUUGUCAAAACCACAGUGUUCUGCUAUGAAAAAAACAGAUUCUGCUACCUCUCAGAGAAGCUUAAUGCCUACCCCUUGUCUUUCUCCUACUGGAAGUAAAUCAGAGUUCUUUAGAGUAAUUCCAAAUGCAUCUGAAAAACCUGAAAGAUCUGAAGGAGUGUUUGGUCAAUUAAAAACAUCAGUCAAUAGAAAGUCUAUGAAGAAAAUCUCAAGAGAAAAUUCGUGUAUGACAACGGAGGCUUGUGAGUAUGACUGGAAAAACUACCAGUCAAAUAAACUAAGUGCAUCUGAGCUACAGAUGCUGGCUAGCAUGACAAGACAGCAAAACGAAGAAUUAGGGGAUACUGGGAUCUCACAUGGGUUGAGCGCAUCACAGAUAGACGACUGCAAUGUUAGCAUAAGCACAAGCAGUGAUGAUACAGCAACCUGGAACUCUUCCUUCCCACCGCCUGUCAGUCAAGAGCAUCACUAUCAGAAAGAAAUGAGCCCACUUUCUCAUUCCGACCCACGAGACUGGUUGUGUGUGUUCAGUCCCCCUAUCGUUCCUGCAAGCCAACAGCUAGAAGAACAAUCUUCAGUAAAUCAGAGUAUUCCAGGUGAAGAUGACUUCAGUGCUGAAGAAGAGGAGGAAGUCUUGACUCUUUUGUAUGAUCCAUGUCUGAACUGUUACUUUGAUCCAAACACUGGGAAGUAUUAUGAAUUGGCAUAGCCAGAUCAUGAGGAUAUUAGUUUGUAUUCAGAAUAGGUUUGUCUUCUAACUGUUUUAACUGCAAAGUGUGACUGAGCUAUAUAAUCUAUCAUGUAACUUAAAAUUGGAAUUAAGCAAUAGUUUUGUAAACAAAUGAAUAUAGUUUGUAAAUAAUGUGUCUUAUUUUUAUAAUUUUGUAUUAAGUUGCAGUACAGUGGAAAAUCACAUAACAUAGAAGUUCCUUGUGGCUAAGACAUUUAUUUGUUUGUCUAAUUUAUUUCCAAUAUUCAAAGGUUCUGUAUGGGAACAAAUUAAGUUGAAGAGCUUUUGCAGUGUUCAUCUGUAAAUGAUGGCUUGACUCAAAUCUUUUUUUCCUUUCCUGCUUACUGUAUAUUUUUAAUUGAUUCCAAGCUAUCUUAUCUGUUGUAGUCUAAGAUGAAUAGUGUGUUGCUUAAAGGCCUCUAUUUCGUGAGCUCUCUCUCGCUUUAGUCAUCAGAAAAAGCAACAUUUGCCUCAUCUUUGAGUAAUUCUCUACUAUUACAUACUGCAGGAAGGGGUUAACAUCAAAGCUGAAUGGUGGUACACAGUGUACAGGGCAGUGCACUUCGAGGUGUGUGCGUGGGCAAUCUGUGAAUCCAAACCACAACAGGGUAAAUGUGAAAGACCUGAGUAUACCCACAGCCCUCAUUUUACUGGUGUAAUUUAACGUGAGGCUGAGGAGGAGUGGCAAGAGUGAUUGCAUCUCCAAAAUUUGAGCCUCGUAUACCUUCACAGUAAGGCAAGAAGACAUGUAUAUGAUUCAUAUGUGAAGUUGUGCUCAGAGUAUAGUUUUCCUAUGUUUGUAUUAUUUAUUCUGUUACAUGUCUUAAUAAAAGAACAUAUGUGAUUUAACCUGUCUGUUUUGCCUGCAGUGUUCAGUGAGGGCCCCAGACUUCCAGCUGAGAGAUUUAAAACUCCUGCAUUGCUGUGGGAUCUAUUCAAAAUAGAAAUGGAGAUGAUUUUUUUUCCUGUUGCACAUAUGAUAUCCUUGUUUACCAUGGAGAAAGACUGUGGAGAUAAACCAGUCCAUGUAUAGCCUCUGAAAAUAAUGAAAAUGAAUAAAAUACUGUGUAUGCAAACAUGCCAAGCUUUACUGUCUGCUAUAAGAUUCAGUUGACCUAACCUGUGAUCACAGCACCAUCCCCUUGCAUUUCUGCAGUGCCUGGCUCAAAACGGUGCCUGGUGUGUCCAGCUGCAGAGCAGGAAAAGGUCUGCAAUACUGCGUUGUGCUGCCUGCUGGUCAUGCGUCCCCCUGCCAAUAGGACACUAGCUCAAAGGGUUAAAUCAAUCAUAAAAAAUCAGCUGCUAGUAUUAAGGAAAAAGGUGUGGGGCAGAGGUUGCAAAGAGUCCAAGGAGAGUUAUGCUGUAAUGGAGUUUAGUUAGUGGACAGCUUUAGAUUUCACCAGUAUUCAGUACUAACAUUAUGGUUUUCUGGAGAUGGUUAAAAGGCCUAUCAAAAUCACAAGGCAAAAGCGAUCUAAAGACAUUUCUGGUGAUGCUUGUUCUAACCAUUUUACUUGAAUAUGUCCCAUGCUAAUCCACCGUAAUCAUUUGCAAGCUGAUUACUUAGUGAAUUUUUAAGAAUGAUGCAUUUGAAUGUCGUAAAGUGAGCUCAGGUUGCAACUGGCAAGUGAUUUAAAAUGAUGUGUCCCUAAAUUAUUAGUAAUUAUGGAUGCCAGUUAAUGAAUAUCCUAGAAUCAAUUGAAAAUGCCGUUGUUAAUAGUGGCUUGGCAUAAGAUCAGACUGUGUAUUUGGCUUCCUUGGCAGGUACAAACAUAUCAUCACAAAUUGAUUCGAGUAAGAGUAGCACUGAAAUCCACAGGAAGACAGAUAUUGCGUUGAUAUAAUUCACUUACCCUGCCUCAGCCUGUUUCUCCUAGAAAGAUUCAUGUCUGUUUUUGCUAAUGCCAUAAUCAAUUUAAAAGUUCAGUGAAAUCGUCAUUUUGCCCUUCAAAAAUCAGAUCAUAGCUUGUACAUGAUUUGCAGAUCUAACCACCUUCUUUUUAGCAUCAUUUAGUGAUUAGGACCAUCUUCUCUGUAUUUUUGGCAAGGGCUAUUUAAAAUGUAUUGCUAAUUUUCCUUUCAUAGUCCCAUGUCUCAAAGGAGUGGUUGGAUGUUCAGCCACUGCGAAUCCGGGCACUGACGCUUCUGAGAUAUGGCUCACUUGCAGCGGAACCUGGCUGAAAGCUGGUGUAUGUUAUUUAAGAGUCAAAAGUCUGCAAAGGGCAAACUGAUUGUCCGCGACUGUCUCUGAGUAGAUGUGCUUGUCCUGGCUUCACACCAGGUAAUCUCUAAUGUGUCACAUUUAAAAAAAUGCAAGUGGACAGAAAAAGCUUGGAUGAAAGGGAGUCAUUAACAGCUCUUCACUCUUACCCUUGUCUUUGACGGGAUAAGGAGGCAGACGGGCAGUAACACAAGGUUCAGGAUGAGACUAUUGUUUGUCAGGUUCAUAAGCAAGGCCAGAUACGUUGUUUGUGUUUUCCUGUCAUUAGCACAGUAGUAUUUUAAAGGUAAGACCUCUCCAAAAUCAUCAAUUCGGGAUCCUUGCCCUUUGUGUUCUAGUUGGCAGCUUUGUUAUAAUGCUGUGAACAGCACCUGCAAGUUAAGAGGUACAAACAGUUUAGCUACAAGGGCCAUAACUUUUGCUCCCAAUGUUUUCCUUAAUCAUCAUUCUGUGAACCUAGAACUAAAGCACUGCUGGCAUGCAGCAUGAUUUUUCUUUAGCCAGUUUGUCAAAAACAGCAUUUAUGGCAAGUCUUAAAGCUAACACACAGAUUUGCUCCUGGUACUCAUGUGCAAUGUUUUAACUUGAAGUCCUUGAGAUUCACAUAGUUCUCACUACUGUGUGCUUUCAAACAGGUUAAAAAAAAAAAAAAAGUGGUGCAUGGGCAUAAAAUUUUGGGUUAAUGAAACUAUUUGCAGACAUUUUUUCUACAGACACAGCAUCAGAUAGGAUUUUUGAGAAGAGAAGCUUUGAAAUGAAAUAAAUUUUAAUAAGGCCUCAUUAAUGUUCCCUAGAAUAUGCAUUGAAAGUGCAGGAAUUGGAGAUAGCUUAGCUGAUCUGCCUGAGUCAGCAAAUCCCAAUUGCAGCUCAUCAAUCAAUCGCUCCAGCCUUUGGACAUCCUGUACACACAGAAGGUCUGUUUAUUCUGAGGUUUCCUCCAAAGUCCAACCGAAUAACCUGGUUUCAGCCUUUGGAUCGCUGUGGACUACAGCAGCAUUGAGGCGUAGGUCACAGACAACAUGGUACGUGUGGGCACUGGCGCAGACUCCUCCAGAGCAACUGCUAGGACUCUGUAAUCUUUGAUCCUGCGGUAUUGUCACUAGUUGUACCCAAGUGUUGCGUGUGCAUGUGAGCCUCAUUAUGCCGAACAAAUGUAUAAGGAACACACUCUCCUAAGGAGCCUAUAGUAGGACAUCAAUAUUGAUUUUGCUCCUCUGCUGCUGUGAUUACUGGGUAAGAAAACCUGAAAAAUAAUUCUUUAUUUAUCACAUGUCCUUCAGCUGUUAAGCAUGCUAUUUAGGGGCACUUUCCAGUUAAACUUUUUGUCAAAAUGCUGAGAUUGCAAAGGUUAAAUGCCCCCAAAAAAUCCAUGAAAAUCGUUUUGCAUAACAAUCAUGUUGAUUUCAGUUUUUCCAUUAUAUUUCUGUAUUACAGAAAUGGGCUUAUUUUUAAGCAAUGGACUACAUGUAAAAUGAAAAGGCAAUCCAGUCUCUUUUCUAUGUGGUAUUGCUGAUAAUCACCAUUUUUCUCAUGGUUACUAUAGUAACUUGGCAUCCUUAGCUGCCACCUUUUUUGGCACUUAAAAAAACUCUUUAAAUUCAGUUCCCUGAUAAACUGAAAGCUUGGCUUCAUGAUACCCAUGGGAGUGUGUAAGUGUAACAACAAUACUUGUCAUUUUUCUUACUUGGUGUUUAACUUGCUUGUUAGCAACUGUGCAGGCAGUUCGAACUGUGAUGUUUCAGGAUCCUGCUGCAGGCGUUAUAACCAGCACAAAGGCUGAUACCCUGGAUGAAAUCCUGGAAACGGCCAUGGGCUCCCGAGGGGUCACACACUGCAGCCCGACAUGUGAAGAACUGAGCAGGAUUUCGCUCUCGUCACAUCACUGUAAAAGCAGUUCUGCCUCUGAGUUUGACAACUUUCAAGAGGAGAAAUAAUCUGUGGACAUGAAACUACAUGGUGGGAAUCAUUUUGAAGGCUCCUGUGGUAAAUCAGUGGCAGAUCAACAACCUGUUGAUGCUUUUAAUCCCUUUUCAAGUGUGUGUGUGCGGUCGAUGCGGCAGAUGAGAGGGGCCCAGAGCCGGGGAUGCUGGAGAGCAAGGAGUGCCCAAUGCACUGCAGAGAGAGGGGGAAGCCUGUUGGCACAAUGUUUUUGGAGUAACCUGCAGAGCCUUUACAGCAUGCCUUUACAUCCGCGUUUCCAGUGCAGCCUGCAGCCUGUGUACCACUGCAACCCCAUGGUCACCGUGUGGCCCAAGCAUCUUUGCCCAAACUCAUCCCUUUGUCUUCUGUGACCAAGCCAGGAUCAAACCGACAGCUGCAAUAAAAAUCACCUGCAACGUUGAGAUAAGUGCCUUGUGUUCAGAGACAUGCAGACCACGCAGGUAGCAGUGGAGAAAGGAGCGGUUUGGCACCAGUCACCCAACUGUAAAUCUCUGUGAGCAGGGACAGCCGCCCUGUGCUUGGCCCAUACCCUGCACCCCAGAGCCUUUGCCCUGUGCUGGAGGAGUCCAACAGUGCUUAAUAGUACCAGGUCCAAACUGCUAUAAUUGCUAAUGCAAUUUAUGGAGUUUUGUAUUUAAUUUGCAAUGAUCAGCAGUGAAUAAUAGAGGGAGGGAGACCCAAGAGGGCAUGUUCCUGCUCAGGACAUGCAGAGUGAUGAAGGGUUAGGGUGGUAAAAUGCAGAAAUAGCAUUUGUACUUGCACCCCUGUGGUGCUGUCCCAGCCAUGUAGCCCAGUUCCUCCCUUGCACCCAGUGUCCUGGGGCACCCACCCUGGGGCUGCCUUCCCACGGGCGAUACUGACGGGGCCUGAGCUAAACACCCGCAUUGCUGUGAGGCUUCCAGACACCAGGUGAGGACGUCAUCAACCAUUACUCAGAGACACCAUGUUUUAUAAGGGAGUCUCUUACAGAAAAAGACUCUUCUUGUGCGCUGCACGUUUACACCAAGGCUGGGACUCUCUACACCAGAGCUUGUAAAAACCUUUGAGACUCCUCUGUCACAAGGUAUCUGCGCUGAAAUGGCUGUGUCCUGUUCAUGAGUGUCUGCCACAGCAACACAGCUGAAGAUAAACGCUUGGCAAUUAUUUUGCCAUUGAUAUUACUCUACCAUGCUCUGAUUUCUUGCAGUGCAUUACACAUUAUUUCAUAUGAUCUAUAUUAAUCCUCAUGUGCCAAUAGAAGGAUAUGUCUGAUCUAGCUGUAAGGUGCUCAAAGGACACAUCUUUUAUUGAGGUCUUCUGUUAACUUCCAGGUCUUGAGCAAGCCGAAGCAAGCUGGGUGCUGAGACAGAGCUGGGGAGCAUGUUCACUUGCAGCAAUCUACCGCUCCAUCUCCUGGCCGCAACUUCCCUUCCAGAGUUGCCUGCAAGUCACACAUGCAGAAAGAAGGAGCAGUGAUAUCCGUGUGGAUAGAAAUGGUCCUGUUCGGGCUGCAAUGCCAAGGAGACAGUGCUGGGGUGGUGCUCCGCAUCCUGGGCCCACAACACUGCCUCUCCUGACAGCAGCUUUUGGCUCAGGGUGAGGACUGUGCCAAGGCGCCUGGCCAGCCUGCAGGAGCACAGCAGCGUUUGCACGCAUCCUGCACAGCGGUCGUCUGAAAACUCACCCCUGCAAGCCAGGACUGCCGCCCUGGCCAGGAUCAUGAUGCCAGGAGAGCAAACACUGCCAGCCAAGGAAAGGGUAUGCUUGCAACAAACCCCUUUAAUAAGAAGCAGUUCAGCCAGCUCUGGUUGAAGCACAGCAGCUUCCCCACUGUCUGUCCAUCACUGUCAGGGCUGCUGGGGUCCUGCUCGGACAGGAUUUGGUACCAGCGAUGCUCAGGCUUGGUCCUUUGCUCUGUGUAAUAAAGCUAAUGUCUGCAAUGAGA